UUUUUUUAAUCGAAAAAUCAAUUUAAAACUAUAAAUUUUUACAACAAUCAAGCUUUGCCGAAACAGUUAUUUACAACAUAAUUUAAAACCUUUUGUGUCAUAGCUGUUCUGUACUAUAUGAUUGAAAGUUUUUAUGGAUUGUAAUAGUAUAAAAUUAUCGAGAUGACUUCAGCAAAUUUUGAAAUAUAACUUUACCAAUAAAGCCAAGAAAUUUUGUCUACUCUAAAAGUGGAGAACGAGCUUGGCGCUUACGGCUUUUGUGUAAAAUCCAAUUCAAUAAACUUCAGACCGAUUUCAUAAAGACUUAAUAAUUGAGACAAAAUAGUACAUCAAAUGAAAAUGGUCGAACGGGUUUCAACAUACAAAAAUCACGAUAAUUUGUUACAGCCUACUCUUGCGCGUAUUCCCAUCCCUGUUGCGAUGGACGGCUGCGGAGCCUCCGAUGCCAUUCGGACAUCGGGUUAAGACCUUUGGGUUCCGCCCAAUUUAUAUACGAGCCUGGUGCCCAAUUGAAUAUAUUUAAUAUUCACCCCGACUCGCUUACACACGCCGUAAGCAAGUUUUAGUUAGAAAAGCAAUCAAACAUUAAAGUGAUGAAAACAUGUGGACGUUAUGUCAAAGGAUAGGGAUAUUUGUAUAUUCUUACCUCAUUUCCACAUCCAAACAUAUGCUUGCAUAAUUUGCGAUGCACCGAGGUCAAAUCUAAGUGUUUAUCCGUCCAGUCUCUGGUAAUUUCAAUAAGCUCUUUCUCGUUAAGCCA
Molecule: long non-coding RNA, 760 nt
Organism: Ceratitis capitata (Mediterranean fruit fly)
Lineage: Eukaryota; Metazoa; Arthropoda; Insecta; Diptera; Tephritidae
Exons: 3
Source: RefSeq, a predicted model, not a curated record